This 458-nucleotide long non-coding RNA is filed under the name Setaria viridis. RNAcentral's name for it is "long non-coding RNA (SVIR_LNC001365)". Lineage: Eukaryota; Viridiplantae; Streptophyta; Magnoliopsida; Poales; Poaceae. The record is from RNAcentral.
AAUAACUUGGCAUGUGGAUGCAGAUUGGUCAAGAACUUGUAAAAAAGCUCGUAUUAGUGCAAUAAAUUGGUAAUUGGUGCAUCCGUAGUCUAAAUGUUGUAACAAGCAACAUAUUUGCUAAUGUCGGGUCAGAGGAUAUUCACAUGAGAACAAGUUAUUGAGCAUUAUUUGACCACUGAUAUUCGUGUCGUAAGGGUAACAUAUUUGGCCUCGAAUAGAACCUUCAGUUUUAGGAAAUUAAUGUUAUGUUUUCGUAUUAAUUAUUUUUUAUACAAGGAUUUAAUUUUUAUUAGGAGUAUUUAAUUUUAUAUUCAAUAUCGAUAAGUUCACCCUUGAUGUUUUACAUUUUGAUUAUAUGCAUUUUUGUUCAACUAAAAAACUAAUAUAUUAAUACAUACUAACAAGACGUUUGGCGUAAAUAUUUUUUAAAGCCACAUGUACUUGUUUACAAAAUAAAA